RNAcentral lists this long non-coding RNA (37737 nucleotides) under Gossypium raimondii (Peruvian cotton). RNAcentral describes it as "long non-coding RNA (GRAI_LNC007868)". Lineage: Eukaryota; Viridiplantae; Streptophyta; Magnoliopsida; Malvales; Malvaceae. The record is from RNAcentral.
GCUCAGGACCAGUCCUGAGGGGAUCAUUAACGGCAACUAGGGUGGCAAAUGGCACAGAUGAAUUAUUGCUUGUGAUGUUAGCUUGGGCUACCACGACUGCAGUAACACCCGUAUGUUCGUGCAUAAAGAAGUGAAGAUUGGUGACCUUAGGUGGCCUGGGAUGAUAUGGUCGGCUCUUCGAGUAGUAUUGGCUCUGCACUGCUACUUGGGAGAGGCAGAUGAUCAGAAUCCAACUCAACAUCAAUGUUCCUCUCAUUGUCUCUGCUUUACUAUAAUUUCUGGGGCGAAAUGUAGAUGAAAGCUAUAGAAUUGUUUCUUUAUUUUUAUUAAGAAAACAGAAAUAUUUAUAGCGAUAAAACCCGCAGACAUGAAAAUAAUUUAUUGUCCCAAAUAUUUUAUAUAAUAUUUCGCCGUAGUAAUAUUAAAAGGAACACAAACCUUGAUCACGCAAAAGAAACAUGGUCUCAUUGUCUAUGAUCCACUUGUAAAUUAAUUUUAUAUUGGAAGUUUCCUCUCCUACGUUUUUAAUUUCGUGUGAAUGGUGCAUUGUCCAUUGACUUUAUUUUAUUUGAUAUUAUAUAUUACUUGUGAUUGAUUUUAUAAAUUAUUUUAUCUUCUGCAAAUAAAAGAUGUUUGAUUUUAUAAAUCAUUUAUUUGAUACGUUUUUUCGGGUAUUCUAAGAUUAAAUAUGACAAAAAAAAGAAGAUAGGAGUGAGUUAUCAUAGAAUAUUUAAGAAAAUUUUUCUUAUAUAUACAUCUUAGAAUGCCCGAAAAACCUAAAAAAAUGCAAUUUCCUGUAAUUUAGUGUACAAAUUCAUAAAAUCGACACGAACUACCACAUGGCCGUGUGGAAUGGGUCAGCCCGUGUGGCUCAUGUAGCUUACUCUGAUUUUCCAUUCUUCACACGUUUUGCUCCCAAAUGCUCUAUUAAGCAUUAAAAUAUGAAUUUAAAGGAUUAGGAUAAUAAAAUUCACCAUUAACAUCGAAAAAUCACCUAAAAACGAAUUAAGAGCGAGGUUAAAAUAUGGUUUCUUUUAGCACUCAUCAAAUAUCUCCAUACUUAAGCGUUUGCUUGUCCUCCACAAUCAAGUGCACUUCCCUUAAUUUAUUGUUUUCACCGAUAAUGUCUCAGGAUAAUCCACAGAUAAUCAAGCAUUAGAAAUUCGAACUAAAAUGACACUAAAGAAUACAAGUAAUCCAAGCAAAAAUUUUCAAUACAUAAAAACAAAGGCAUCUCUCCUAUCUCAAUAAUUACAUGAAAUUUAAACUCAACAAGAAUUGACAUCCUCACUAAGGAUCACUCAAAGCACUCAGAGUCUUUAAUGUUCAAGGACUAUGCACUCAAUAGUCGAAUGAGAAAUGUUAUUACCAUAGGCUUGCUUGAAAAUUAGAUCUCUACCACUAAAGAAAUGAGAUGACACACCUAUUACCUCACAUAAAUACUAAGAAACCUUUAGUUUCAUAUGAUCAGUAAAAUGCAUGUUUCACUAAGUAGAAGAUCUGAAAGGACUUAAUUUGGUUUCUAAACUCAUGAAAGAUCAAGUUGCCAUGGAAUGCUUUCCGAACACUGUUAAGCAUGAUGAAAAUAAAUUAAGUUGAUUAAUGUAAUUAUCUUAACCUAUACAUGUUAUUGAUUGUUGAAGUUGUGUUUCUGUUGCUAAAAUCCAUUCAUACAUUUAGAUUAUUUUGCAUACUUAGUUUAAAAAUGCAUUAGGGACCAAAUUUUGCAUCCAGUUAAAUUAAUUUAGUUAAAUCAUCAUCACUAAAAUUAUUGUGUUUGAUAAUACUCUGGAUUGACAUAUUUUUAUGUAUUAAUUACAUAAUUAUUUUGAGUAUGAUCCUGCUAAUUUGAGCUAUUUAUGGUUUUUUUAUAUGCUAGGGAUUAAAUUGAAGGCAAAAGGAAAUUUAGGAGCAAAAGCAUGAAUUUGAAACAAAAUGGGCCAGCAUGCGAAAUAGGAAAGAAGUUGUGCCAAAAAUGCAAAGUGUGGAAGACUUGAGAGCAACAGUUCAAAGAAAAGAUUUUAUAAACACAAUACUCUAUUUAAAUUUUAAUUAUAUUAGGAUUAUUGUUAAAAUUAUUAUUUAAAUUUCAUUUUAGCUUUUAUCUUUAUUUAUCUUUUAGAAUUUAGAUAGGAAUAAACUAGGUUUUCUGAGUACUAUAAAUAGAGGAUGGAGUGACAUAAAUUGCACUCAUCUUUUCUGUAAAAGCUCCCUCUCCCAAAAAGCUCUAGCUUUUGUUCCUUUUAUUUAUUCAAUAAAAUUCCAUUUUUAUUAAGUUUAUUUCUUUUUCCCCAAAAAGCAUGAGCCACUAAAUUCAUCUAGCCAAAGGUUGUCGAAGAUUACCCAAAAAGGGUUCAUGAGGCUUAGAAUCCACACUUAACCUUCUCAACAAAUAUUCGUCAUUUCUCUGUAUUACAAGAUUGACGCUUCUAUCCAUGUCCCUUCAAAUGUGAUCUUUUCAUCUUGUGCAAAGGCGGCCGCUUUAUAUGUUUUGGGAAGGUUGCACAGUCGGUUCGUUAGCCUACUGCGUCAGUGUUUGUCAAGUCCAAGAGACAAAAUAGCGUGGCAUUCGCCAUUGAGAAGUGAUGAUCUAGUGUAAAACGGUUCCAUAAAAGUGACGAUUGGUUAGAGUCAGGUUCCUCUAUAUCGUGAGUCUAAAAUCUAAGUGGAGCUGGUGGUCAUAGGCGUCCUCUUCCACUAUAACUGGCUUAUUCUGUUAUGAUAAGGAUCAUCUAAAAGCCUAGGAUUGAACCUGAGGAGGAUCGAGAUAACCGGAGGCUGGAAUCUCUUUAUCAAAAACUCUAUUUUCUUAAUUCUGUUUAUUUUUACAGUUUCAAUUUCAAUUUAUGCAAUCUCAACUCAACCAAACUUUUAAUUUUGUUUUUUUAUUCUUUUCCAGGCACGCUAUUUUUAUUGGGCAAGACUUUGCUCGGGAUAUCGAGGAAGAGGAACCUGUGCAAGUCCAAUCCCUGAAGAUUUGACCCUACUUCCCUUAUACUAUUCUUUUCAUUAUUUUAUAGGGAUAUGAUACUUUUGGUGCUCUCAACGAUGCACCAAAUUUUGACACUGUUGCUGGGGACUAGUAACGUACUAAUCUUGCUCCUUUUGUUUCUUAUUACCAGAUCUGUUCCAAGUAUUCUUACAUUUGAUUCAGAGAUAGAGAAGAUUGCGUGAGCUAAUCGCAAAGAAACAAAACUACAUAAAAAGCAGUUAGGGGUGGUAAGGACUCAGACUAACCCACCGCUGGAGAUAGAAGCAGAUGACAAUGUGUCUAGGGUUAACGAAAACCCUACUCAAACACUAGAAAAUGAAAGAGUAGGAGUCGAUCCACCAGAAGAAGUGCUUAAUGUGAGGGUUAACGAAAUGCAAAACAAAAAUCCCCACAAACAUUUAAAAGAGUUUUAUAUGGUUUGUCUUAGCAUAAAACCUUAGGGCAUAACUAAGGAUCAAAUCAAAUUGGGUGCUUUCCCUUUUUCCCUAGCAGAUUCUACUAGGGAAUGGUUAUUUUAUCUACCCUCUAGAUCUAUUACAACUUAAACUGAUCUUUCUCGUUUGUUUCUCAAUAAUCUUUUCUAGCAUCGUAUGCAAUUGAGUUAAUAAGGGAGAUCGUUGGGAUAAGAAUAAAAGAAGUAAAGUCUCUUUAUGACUAUUGGGAGCGAUUUAAGAAGUUGUGUACAAGUUGCCCACAACAUGGUAUAACGAAACAGUCUUUACUCCAAUACUUUUAUGAAGGAUGGAAACCUAUAGAAAUGAACACGGAAGAUGCCGCCAGUGGAGGGGUAUUGGUCAACAUGACUCCCCAACAAGUAAGGGACUUGAUAUCCACGAUGGCUAUGAAUAAUCAACAAUUUUGAGCCAAUCCUAAACCCACUAGAGGGGUUCACUAGCUAAGUAAUUCAACCUUAGAAGAUAAAGUUGAUAGACUUACUAAUAUUAUGAAUUCUUUUAUUGCAGAAAAAGCAAAACUAACUUGACUAUGCGGAAUUUGUUCCAUACCUAAACAUACAAUUGAUUUAUGUCCUAGUUUGUAUGAUGAUACUAUGGCCUAUUUGAAUGCUGUGGAGAACUUUCCUGGGCCACCACAAAGUCGAUAUGAUCCUUACGCUAAUACCUAUAACCCAGGAUGGAAAAACCAUCCUAACUUGAGUUAUAGGGUCAACCUACGAUAUAACUAGCCAUACCAAAAUUAGUUUCAACAAUAGCCGCGAGAUUGAUGUACUUCUCUAGAAACCAUGGUCAAUAAAUUAGCAGCUAAUAUGCUUGAUUUUUAAUAGAAAACUGAGGUGUCUAUAAGAGAGUUGACCAUAUCAAUUGAGAAAAUGAACUCUUAAGGGAAGCUACCAUCACAAAAAGAGCCAAACCCAAGACAAAAUGCAAAUGUAGUGACAUUGCAAAGUGGAAGAGAACUAGAACCAAUUCCUGGUAGAAAUCUUGGCAAAGAUUUUGCCCAAGAGAAGCACGAGAACGACGAACUAGUUCGAAUGAAACCUCCAUUGCCUAAAAUUCAACCUCCAUUUCUAAGAUGAUUGAACCAAAAUCGGAAAGGUAAAGAGGAUAAGGAGAUCCUCGAAACAUUCAGAAAUGUUGAGAUCAACAUACCACUAUUGGAUGCCAUCAAACAAAUUCUGCGAUAUGCCAAGUUUCAUAAGGAGCUCUACACCAACAAGUGAAAAUUAACUGGUAAUGAAAGGGUAAGCGUUGGUGAAAAUGUAUCCACAGUGUUAUAGUGGAAGAUGCCAACAAAAUGCAAAGAUAGGGGAAUGUUUACAAUACCAUGCAAAAGAGGCCACUUAGGAAUUAAAAAAGCUAUGUGUGAUUUAGGGGUCUCCAUAACUGUAAUGCAUUUUCUAUUUAUGAAUCACUUACCAUGGGUUUUUUAAUGAAAAUAGGUGCUAUCAUUAAGUUAGCAGACACGUCUAUUGUGCAUUCUGAAAGAGGAUCGAGAUAACUGGAGGCUGGAAUCUCUCCAUCAAAAACUCUCUUUUCUCAACUCUGUUUAUUUUUACAAUUUCAAUUUCAAUUUACGCAAUCUCAACUCAACCAAACUUUUAAGUCUAUUUUUUUAUUUUUUAUCCAGGUACGCCAUUUUUCUUGGGCAUGACCCUGUCCGGGAUCUCGAGGAACAAGAACUUGUACAAGUCCAGUCUUUGAGGAUUUGACCUUACUUCCCUUAUACUAUUCUUUUCAUUAUUUUAUAGGGAUAUGGUAUUUUUGGUGUUCUCAAUGACGCACCAAUGUUUUUAUACCAAAUUGUGAAUUUAUAAAUUUGCAAAUAAUCAAUUAACACACACAGCCCCUAUGGAGAUGAUAACUCAUUUUACUUACUUAUUACUUGAACAACUGUGUACACUUGCACAAUAAUCCCGUUACAAAUGUUUUUCAUAUUCAAAAGGAGUAAGCUUUAUGCAUGUCAUGGAUGAGAAAAGUAUGGCACUGGGUGUAGAGAAAAGGAUAAAAUUUUUAAGAGGAUGUAGAGAUUAUAAGGUUUUCUAAAUCUUCUCAAAUAUAUAAAAAUUAUUUGACAAGAAAAUCCUUGUCCCAUAAUAAAUAUAUACCUUAAUCCUGAGUGGAUGAUGGACUAUGUAUGUGUGUAUCAUAUACUUUGAGGUAAGUAAAAGUCUGAGUUCAAAUAGAUAAGGAACCAAAAGUUGGUGCAUUGGAUAUACGACUUCUGUAGUAUAUAAGUUCGUUCACAAUAGUGGAAUUCAUUGCGCAACUAAUGGGUAAAUGAUACAAAUUCAUCUACAUUACAUGCUAGAUGAAAAUUAAACAUGAUCAUAGAUCGUUUGUCUUUGUGGUAAAUGGCUUGAUUACUAUUUGUCCUAGACAAAUGAUUCGUGGCCUUGUUACUUUUUCAUCUAUCAUUUAAUGCUAAUGAGAGAAUAUCAUUUACCCUUUAAUGGGUUAUGAAUUCCACUAUCUGAAUGAAGCUAUGUCGUGCAAAAGUAGUAUGCCUAACAUAUUAGCUUUCGGAUUUUUAGUUGUUUUGAACUCAAUCUUUCACUACAUCUAAGUGUACGAGUUAUGCACACAUAGUUAGUCACUUAGUCAAGUUUGAGGUAAGUCACUAUGAACAUCACAAAUAAAUUAAUCCACAAACAAAUCUAAGAUUAAUUUGAAUUGAGUCUUUCUUUAUGUAUUAUCAAUCCAGACAAUAACAUCUACGUCUCUAUCUUCUGGGAGUCAUCUGUUUCGAUACUAAAGACAAGAUAUCUAUCUAAUAGAACUUGAUAGACUGCAUAAUAAUCCUUUAACUGAUUUGCUCAAUUUCGAUUUAAUGGACCUUUUAAAUUAUCUACUAAUAUAAGUUAUCUUCUCGAAUUGAUCCGACCAUAUAAUACAACUUAAUAUCGGUUAAACGUUAGGUAAUCAAUGACUAAUAUUUGUUGACAUUUUACUUCUUUUGCGCUUGUUUUUAUAUUCAAAAUUUACCACUUUCUUUUGCAAAUUCAUUUUAUUCUAUUUUAAUUAGUUUAUAGUUAACUACACUUAGACUCCCUUUGGAUAGGUGAUGAGAUUAAUCCGAUGAGAUUGAAAAUAGUGGUAGCGACAAUAUUAUCUACUAUUGAUGUACUAAAACAACUCUUCAUGACCUAAAAUAAAUUAAAAUUAAUAAAUUUUAUUUAUUAACAACAGAAUACCGCCAAACUCAAGAGGACGCCUCUAUAAAUGAAACUAUUCGUGGCAUUCAACGAGAGAAACGCCACUAAUAUAUACAAAUUAAAAUUUAAAAAAUUAAUUAUAUUUCUUAAUUGUAUAAUUUACGGUAUCUGAGACUUGGUCGCCACCAUGUGCACUAAUGUGUUAUCCGCUGAAAUGUUGAAAUUCGCUGGCUGACGUGAGUGAAUUAGCCGCGUUUUCUGGGUAACCUCCACUUAUCAUGCGCAUAAGCCACUACAGGAGUACCUAUGUGGCACUUUUCUCUGUAAACGCCGCAAGGUAUUGCCGCGGUGAGUGGUGAGAUGCAACAUGAUAUGAUCGUGGUUUUCUUCAAGUCAACUGGAUGAGGUCGCAUAUAAGCAAUCUUGCUCCUUCCUGUCUUCCGCUGUGAGUGAGCUUUGUUCAACAAAGUGAUCUGAGAGGAUAGGUGGGUUUUACUUGUUGUAAGGGUGGAGUGGCAACGUCUAGCAACUAUAAAUUUUGCAACCAUAUAAGCCAAACUGUAAAAGACAGCACAUAAUUCAUCAAAUAAAUAAUCUUAUUCAUAAUACAUAAAAAUAAAAUAAUUAAUUCAAAAUCAUGCACAAUUUUCUUUAAAAUAAUAUAAAUGUCAAAUGCUAAAUAAUAUGAUCAGAACAAGAAAGAGAUAAUACACUAAAAUAAUACAGUUGAAUGUUUGAGUUUAUAAGUUAAGAGUAUUUUUAUUAAUAUUAUAUUCCAAUUCGAGUUAAGAUUUUUUAUCAAACUAAAAGUGAAAAUUUAUAUCAAAGAAAGAAAUUGUAGUAAGUUGAGUGUCAAAUCCGUUUUUUAUUGAAAAUGGUGGCAAAAACAUUAAUUUUUUAAUGAUGUUGACGCGACAACUUAAUUACAUAUACUUUAUACAAACAUUACAAUUCGUUUUUUUUAUGUUACCUCACCAAAUGAUUUAAAAUUUAUAAAAUAUUCAAAUUAUAAAAAAGAGUUCAUAAAAAUUCAUAAAAUUAGCAUGGACUACAUGUAGAUUGCUAAGUGGGCUGUUAUGUUUAAAAGUUUAAUGUUUUAAUAAGUAUUUCUAUUUAAAAAAAAUAACAAUUCGAUUCUUUUUUAAAUGUUGGUGGUCAAAUUUGACCUCUUUAAAAUGGUUGAGACUAAAACCAAUAUGAGUAAAAAAUAUAAACAUUAAGGGUUAAAUUUGAUAUUAUGCAUGGACUUAUCGAUAAUUAGAGGCUUUUAAGUAUAGUUAAAUCCGAAUUUAUUGAUUCAAACAAAAUUUUGUAUCAAUAAAAAUAAUAAAAGUUUUCUUUUUUACUUUGGUCAAACUUUGGUGGAGAGAUUUUCGAGUAAAGGUGUUGGUGAUUUGAAUCAUUUCCUGGGAAUUGAAGUCAUUCUCAAGAUUUAUUCAUCUCAACUCAAGAAUAUAUCUGUUAUGAUAUAUUGAGCAAAGUAAACUUGCUGCUUCGUUGUAAUAUUUGACUUUGACACCAUUUCAUAAUUGUUUGGUUGAUAUAUUGAGCAAAGUAAACUUUUCUCAGCUUUUGCGUAAACCAACCUCUAGCAGAGAUGAAGAUAAAUACUGAAUAAAUAUAUUUGUAAUAAAAUAAUAAAGUACAAUGAUGAAGUAUGAGAAUGUCAAUCUCAUACACUUAUUCUAUCCGAGUGGAGCGGAAUCAUACGACUUUUUCACAAUCCAAGAGAAUUGAGUCUGUAAAUGACACCUUAGUAAUGAACUACAGUAAAGUUAAAUUCCAUAAUGACAUUGGUGGCAUUUAUAAGGAUAGGGUUAAAUAGUGCAGUCCCUUUUGCCAUCAUGAAUCGUCCUCUUCCUCCGACCACCGCAAGCCCUGGUUCUCCCCUUGAAAAUACGCUUAGAGAGCUGCCGUUAAACUUACCGGUAUUAAAUCCAAAUUCUAUGUACUGCGUGCUCGAUGCAUUUGAUCCGGCUAAGAGGGAAAUACCCUGAACAUUUCCAAUCACCUCUGAGUCAGGCUCAGGACCAGUCCUGAGGGGAUCAUUAACAGCAACUAGGGUGGCAAAUGUCACUGAUGAAUUAUUGCUUGUGAUGUUAGCUUGGGUUAGCACGACUGCUGUAACACCCGUAUGUUCGUGCAUAAAGAAGUGAAGAUUGGUGACCUUAGGUGGCUUGGGAUGAUAUGGUCGGGUAUCUGAGUAGUAUUGGCUCCGAACUGCUACUUGGGAGAGGCAGAUGAUCAGAAUCCAACUCAACAUCAAUGCUCCUUUCAUUGUCUCUGUUUUACUAUAAUUUCUGGGGCGAAAUGUAGAUGAAAACUAUAGAAUUGUUGCUUCAAUUUUAUUAGGAAGACAGAAAGAUUUAUAGUGAUAAAACCCGCAGACAUGAACAUAAUUUGUUGUCCCAAACAUUUUAUAUAAUACAUGAUUGAUUUCGCCGUGGCAAUAUUAUAAAGAACACAAAUCCUGAUCACGCAACAGAAACUUGGCCUAAUUAUUUUAGAUUGGAAGUUUCCUCCUCCUGCGUUUCUGUUUUCGUGUGAAUAUUGUCCAUUGACUUUAAUUUAUUUGAUAUUAUAUAUUCCAUGUGAUUGAUGUGUUGAUUUUAUAAAUUAUUUUAUCUUCUGCAAACAAAUGUUUGUUUGAUGUGAAAUCUCUUUUUUUUUUUUUCUUUCUAAAUCUCCUUCAGAAAUUAACGGCGAAUCUAGAAAUCAGAAACAUGGUCUAAUUAGCUGCUGGCUCUAAUCAAUUUUCUUUGUUUUUUACGCAAAGCAGGUUGUGGAAUUCACUACCACCGUUCUGCCAAUUUUUCUCUUUUUUCUUGAGUAAUUAAAACUUUAUUCUGGCUUGGGGACACUAAUCAAUCCGAGAGAGAACUGUGAUGCUUUCAAUUUUGCCUAAAUCUUCCACACUCUUGCAACACUUUAUUGGAAUUUGUUAAAUUUGGAACUGAAUUGUGUGCUAAUACAUGUCUCAUGGAAUUUGACAUUUUCUAUACUCGCUUAGACAAAUUGCUCAUUUGAAAAAACGAAAAAGAAAAAAAAAAGAAGUGAGAACAGAACUGAUAGCUUAAAUUAUGAGUAAGAACUUGUGUAUUGUGACGGUUGUUUGAAUUGUUAUCGCACUUCGCGUCAAAAGCUCUAGUACUGUUUCAAGUCAAUAAAUUACUCUAAUCACGGUGCCAUAAGAGAGAUAUAUUGAAUUGUGUAAUCAUCUUGAGUUGUCAUUUCAUUUUAUGUUAAAAGAUUCGACAACAUCUUAAACAAAAAGAAAUAAAUAAAUGUCUGUGCGAGUCUAAUUGAAUAAGUCCAUGGAAUGAAAACAUUUUCCGGGAUAUUGUUACAUGACUCGAAUGAUUGAACAAAAGGUGUGCUUGAGAACAAGCUUUCUUCAAGUCAGCCGGAGGAGGUCUGUCAUCCGGUGUGAGUGAGCAAUAUUGUUCAACAAAGUGAUCUUAGAGGGUAAGGGUGGAGUCACCAUGUCUAAAAGUUAUAAAUUUUUUAACCAUAUAAGUAAACGUGUAAGAAAAACACAUAAUACAUCAAAUAAAUAAUCUUAAUCGCGAUACAUAAAAUAAAAAAAAAUGAUUUAAGAUCAUACACACACAUUGUUUUAAAUAAUAUAAAUGUCGAUUCCCACACAAUAUCUUCAAAACAGGAAAAAUAUAUUACACUAAAAUAAUAUAGUUGAAUGUUUGAGUGUAUAAAUUAAGAAAAAUUUUAUUAAUGUUUUAUUCCAUAUGAAAGAAAGAAAUUGUAGUAAGCUGAAAAAUUUAACACAUUUGGCCUAUAGUUGGAGACUAGAAAUUCAAAUUUAACUUCUCCUUAUUGUGAUUUAACUUUUGUUAAACUUAACUUAAGCUUCAAUUUAAUCCCAGAAAUUCAACAGAGUCUAGAUUGGAAGUUUCCUCCCCCUGCGUUUUGAUUUUCGUGUGGAUAUUGCCCUUUGACUUUAAUUUAUUUGAUAUUACAUAUAAUAUAUGAUUGAUGUAUUGAUAUUAUAAAUUAUUCUAUUUCUGCUAAGAAAAGUUUGUUUGGUAUGAUCAAGUCUCUUUCCAAUAUAAUCAACUCCGACAUAAGAAAUUCAUUAGAAAUCAGAAACAUGAUCUAAUUAACACCCAAUUGAGAAAUUUAUAUCAAUUUUCUUUGGUUUUUGCGCCAACCAGGUGGUGGCCCAUUUUUUAAAUUAUUAUUUAAUUAAUUAUAAUUAAUUAACUUAAGUAUAAUGCGAGAAAUAAAUUUAAAUAAUUAUCAUGGAUUUAUUAAAUAAGACAAUUAAAUAUAUUUUUCUUACAAAUUUAUUAAAUAACUUUAAUGGAAUUAUAAUUGGGUUGAAAUAUAAUUUAAUUAAGAAAAUAAUUUAAUUAAUUUAUAUAUUUAAGAAAUAUAAAAUAAAUAUUAGGUUAUAUAAAUUAUAAGUGUUGGAUAAAAAACCCAAAUUAGGUCUAGUUAAUGGAAGGGAUGGCAAGCCUUAGUAUUUUCUAGGCCAUGCCACCGCCCCCACCUAUUCUACUUCAAGUAGAAUUUUUAUUUUCUAUUAAAAUAUUAUCAUUCGAUUACCCUUUAUUCAAAUAGAUCUCUUGUACUGUUUCUUUAUAAUUAGGGACUACGAGCUAAACUAUUCAUACAAUUUUGAGAGUAUUGUUAUUUUGUCAAAAAAUAGUGACAAUUUUUUUAGAAUAAAUUCUAUUUUUUGGGAAAAUCUGAUAGUUUCCAGUUUAUAGAGAGAAUUAACAUUCUCAUUGAAAGUUAAGAAAUGUUUUCAUUCUGUGCAUUUGGUUCUAUUUUGAGAGCUCAUACUCAAAGCAAUUCAGGGUUUGAGGAUAGCGAAGAAGGUCAUUCACUAGAAAGUCAGGAUUGACUUAGACUACCUCGUACAAAACAUAGGUAUAAAUUUGGUUAAAGGUUUAUUGUUAUAAAUAUCACCAGGCUUGAUUUUAAGUAAAAUUUUAAACUUCCGUUUUGCCUAAAAACUUAGUUUUCUAAACCCAUUUUUACAACAAUUGUGUGGUGUAUAGUUGGAAGAAUCGAAACAAUCCGUAAUUGUCAUAUUCAGUGUGUUGAAGAACAAACUAAUGUGACCAAUUGAGUAAAUGAUUGGAUUUGUCAAGGGAAUUAAUGAUAGAUUUUAAACGACUCACACAAUUGAGACCUUUGAUUCAAGUCAAUUCUAUCUUGUUCGCAUGGUUAAUGAGGAACUAAAUAGUGGAAGUUGAUUUUAGGUUAUUCGCUUGGUAAGGGUUACUUGUCAAAUCGUUCUCACAUUUAAUUUACAUACAAAAAGGUAAGUCGCGGUUAGAAGUUGCUCCUCAAUCAUUAUAAUUGACUUAUCGGUUGGAGGAGAAAAUCUAUUGUCGUGCAUCAACUAAAACCAAGGCCAAAACUAUUCUUGAAGUUAGAGCGUUGUUUCAUCAGUUUACUCAAUUUUAAUCCCUCUCUUCUAUUUUUCAUAUAGUUCGACACAUGUCGUGGGCAUGAAAGUUGCCUACCACACGUUCUGGUUAAAAUGAACAUCAAUUUAUUCUGUUAUAUUAGCAUUAUGGAAAUCUCUGGGAUACCUGGUCUAUUCCGCUGUUAUACUCGCUAUUAUAUUCUCCGUUGAAUACAGCAGUCGGAAAGUUAAUUUCUCUCUAUGAAAAAUCGAAAAGCUUUGAGAUUUAUAGAAAAUAGGAUUUAUUCUUGUAAAUAUCUCUUUUUUAAAGAAAAUGAUGACAAAAAGAAUUAAUUUUUUAAUGAUGUUGGUAUGGCAAUCCACACGUAAUUUAUAUUGUCAUGAUAUUUUUUGUUUUAUAUGCCAUGUCAACAAAUAAUUUAAAAAUUAUAAAUUAUAAAAAAAUUAAUACAAAAUAUAUGUGGAUUGCCCUGCGCGCUGUGAUGUUUAAAAAUAGUUAGUAUUUCCAUAAACAAAAAAAAAAAAUUGACUCUUCUUGAAAGGUUUGUGGUCAAAUUUGAUUCCUUUUAAAAGGUUGCGGCUCAAAUUUAGCUCAAAAAUGAAAUAAGAGUUAAAUUGAGUAAAACACGUCAACAUUGAGAACUAAAUUUGACAUUACGCCUUGAUUUAUCAAUCUAUUAAAGGCCUAAGUAUUGUGGAAUAUGAACUUAUCGAAUCAGACAAAUUUGGUAUCAAUAAAAACAAUAAAGCUUUUCUCUCUAACUUUGUUCAAACUUUGGCGGAGACAUUCUCUAGUAAAGAUCUUGCUGAUCUGAAUCAUUUCUUGGAAGUUAAAGUCAUUCCAACAUAUCAAGAUUUAUUCAUCUCAACACAAGUAUAUAGAUGUUAUGAUAUAUUGAGCAAAAUCAACAAAUAAUUGUCAAGUGCCAAGGAAUCAAAUACACCAAUGUCUACUUUAGUUUGUUUAAGUUUUCAUGUUGGUCAAGUUUUGCAUAAAGCAGCCUCUAUCAGAGAUGAAGAUAAAUACUGAAUAGAUAUAUUUAUAUGCCUUUUUGUAGCUAAGAAUUUAAUCUUUAUUUGUAAUAUAACAGUAAAGUACAAUGAUCAAGUAUGAGAAUUUUAAGUUUUAAUCAAAUCAACAUAUAUAUAUAUAUCAUACACUUAUUCUAAUCAAGUGGAGCAUAAUCAUACGACUUUUUCACAUUAAUCCAAGAGAAAUGAGUCUGUAAAUAACACCUUAGUAAUGAAUUACAGUAACGUUAAAUUCAGCAAUUGUAUUGGUGGCAUUUACAAGGAUAGGAUUAAAUUGUGCAACCCCUGUUGCCAUCAUGAAUUGUCCUCUUCCUCCGACCACCGCAAGAUCAGGUUCUCCCCUUGAAAAUACGCUUAGAGAGCUACCGUUAAACUUACCAGUAUUAAAUCCAAAAUCUAGGUAUUCCGUGCUCGAUGCAUUCAUUCCAGCCACUGACGCAAUACCCUGAAUAUUUCCAAUCAACUCUGAGUCAGGCUCAGGACCAGUCCUGAGGGGAUCAUUAAUGGCAAAUAAGGAGGCAAAUGGCAGUGAUGAACUAUUGUCAUUGCUUGUGCUGUUAGCUUGGGCUACCACUACUAUUGUAACACCCGUAGUUCUGUGCAUAAAGAAGUUAAGAUUGGUGACCUUAACUGGCCUGGGAUGAUAUGGUAGGGUCUCCGAGUAGUAUUGGCUCUGCACUGCUACUUGGGCGAGGCAGAUGAUCAGAAUCCAACUCAACAUCCAUGUUCCUCUCAUUGUCUCUGCUUUACUAUAACUUCUGGGGAAAGCUAUAGAAUUGUUGCUUCAUUUUUAUUAAGAAAACAGAAAGAUUUAUACUGAUAAAACCUGCAGAUAUGAAAAUAAUUUAUUGUCCAUAACAUUUUAUAUAAUACCUGCAUGAUUUCUCACUAGUAAUAUUAAAGACAAAACAAAUUUUGACCAGGCAACACAAACUUGGUCUAAUUGGCUGAUUGAUUUUUUAAAAAAGGAUAACUUCACGUAAACACCAUUCUGCCUAUAAAAUUAAAUGAUCCACUUGCUUUAAAUUAAUUUGUGGAUUGGAAGUCUCCUACCCUGCCUUUUUUAUUUUCGUUUGAAUGGUUUGUAUUGUCCAUACAUCUGAUUGAUGUGCUGAUGUUAUAAAUUAUUUUAUUUUAUAAUUUUGUGGAUUGGGUCCACUUAAAUAAAGGUUGAAGAUAACCAAAAAUAAUAUUAAUGUUCUUAGGUAUCAUUAAGUAAAAUAAUAUUGUGUUACUAGGAGGGCAACAACACUCCCUCUCGAGCCUUGGGUGUUGCCCAUCACACAUUGGAUGAGCUUAUUGGGCCUAUCUCAUAUAUUGUACAUAUAUCUAAAUAUUUAAUCAACCCAUAUAUUUUAGUUAACUUCAUAAAUAAUUUUUUAUUUACUUAAUUAAAAAAAAUUAAUUAAUCUAUUUAAUUAAAUUAUUUUCUCAACCCAAUUAAAUAUUUGAGGUAAAAUUUAUUAUUAUACCAAUAAAAAAUUGUCACCGUCAAUGAUUUAACGGAGUGAUGACCAAAAUAUUAAAUUUCAAUAAGGUGACUAAAAUAGAAAAUUUUAAACUUGAGUGACCAUAAUUGAAACACACUAAGAAUUAGGUGACUAUUUUUUAACUUUACCAUUGUUGUACUAUGAUAAGAACAAUCGGAUUUGGCAGGGCAUAUAGAGUUAAAAAUUGUCACAUAGCCUACAUAAUUUUUCUAUACAUUAAUGCUUAAAAUACUCAUAAACCCCCACGCUCGUAAAUUGGAGAUAAAAGCACUUAAAGUGUUUGAACCCACAUCCUACUUAUUGUUGCAACAACAAUAGUAACACUUGAGUUAAAGAUCAAUUAGCCAUGCUUCUUUUUCUUUUAAAGUUGCAUAACAAGUGGUUAAAAUCUAAACAAUGAAUCAAACCCCAAAUUUGUGGUCUAUUGAUUGACUGCCUAUUUUCUAUAAAAAUAGCCUAAAUUCGAGUCAUCUAUGCACCUAUAACAAAUGAUUAAAAUCUAAAUAAUGAACCAAACCGCAAGUUGUGAUCCAUUGAUCGAGUGUUUAUUUUCUAUAAAAAUAGCCUAGAUUCAAGUCAUCGAUGUGCCUAAAGAAAACGUCUAAACGGAGAUCCAAAGUUUUGUAUUUUUCAAAAAUAUUAGUUAAGCGCAUAUCCCUAUUAUACUCAAGGUUAAAACAUAUAUGGAGUCUAAUAAUUAAAAUUUUUUAAUAAGUUUUUUUUAUAAAAUAUUUAAAAAAAUUGUAUUAAUUUAUUUAUGAGGAUAGUUUAGUUCAUCAAUUUAAAUUGAUCAAUAUUUUAAAAUUAAUAUUAGAAUGAUAUUUUGGUCUAUCAAUUUUAAGAGUUAAUUUAAAGCUUACUCAAGAAACAGAUGAAAAGGUGAGUUAAAGAUGAAAUGGAUCAUACUAAGUGUUGGGUAUAGCGGUAAGAUACAUUAUAUUUUUAAGGGAAAAUACAAAAUUAAAUUUUGGAGAUGACAUUGUUAAGACGGACAACAACGAACCUUGAACAUGGACUUAAAAAAAACAAGAGGAAUACAAAAAAAAAAAAAAGAACAAAUAGGUCACAAGCAUGGUGUGUUUCAAUGUACAGUUCCGAGUUUAUCAAUAUUUUUAGUUUUACAUAUAUAUUUAUUGUUUAAUUUUUAGAUUUUCUUUUUGUAAAUUAUAAUAUAUAUUCAAGUAAGUAUAUCUUACAUGCAUAAAUAUGUUUAUAUCAAAAUAUAAGUUUUAAAAUUACUAAUUAGGUUUAAUAAAUUAAUUUAAUAAUUGUAUUUUAAGUUUAAAUGUAAAAUUUAAAUUGUUUAAUAUAAAAUAAAAUAAAAUUUAGGUUUAAAGUAUUAAAAUUUUAUAUUGAUGUCCACUAAAUUAAUUAAUAAAUUUAAUAAAUUGGUUAAAAUAAUUGUACCUAUCAAUUAAUAGUAUAAUUAUAACGAGUGAUUUGUCAUAAUUAAUGUCUCAAGUAAGAGUAUUCUCGGCGAGCUUGCUUUGUAGCUAAGAAUUUAAUCUUUAUUUGUAAUAUAACAAUAAAGUACAAUGAUGAAGUAUGACAAUUUUAAUUUAUUCUCGUACAUUUAUUCUAAUCAAGUGGAGCAGAACCAUGACAUUUUCACAAUCGAUGAGAAUUGAGUUUGUAAAUAGCACCUUAGUAAUGAACUACAGUAACGUUAAAUUCAAUAAUGACAUUGGUGGCAUUUAUAAGGAUAGGGUUAAAUAGUGCAACCCCUCUUGCCAACAUGAAUCGUCCUCUUCCUCCGACCACCGCUAGCCCAGGUUCUCCCCUUGAAAAUACGCUUAGAGAGCUGCCGUUAAACUUACCGGUAUUGAAUCCAAAAUCAAUGUAUUGUGUGCUCGAUGCAUUCAUUCCAGCCAGGAGCGCAAUACCCUGAACAUUUCCAAUCACCUUCGAGUCAGGCUCAGGACCAGUCCUGAGGGGAUCAUUAACGGCAACUAGGGAGGCAAAUGGCACUGAUGAAUUAUUGCUUGUGAUGUUAGCUUGGGCUACCACGACUGCUGUAACACCCGUAUGUUCGUGCAUAAAGAAGUGAAGAUUGGUUUCCUUAGCUGGCUUGUGAUGAUGUACUGGUCGGGUCUCCGAGUAGUAUUCGCUCUGCACUGCUACUAGGGAGAGGCAGAUGAUCAGAAUCCAACUCAACACCAAUGUUCCUCUCAUUGUCUAUGCUUUACUAUAAUUUCUGGGGAGAAAUGUAGAUGCAAGCUAGUAGAAUUGUUGCUUGAUUCUUUAUUAAGAACACAAACAUUUAUACUGAAAAUACCCGGAGACAUGAAACUCAUUUAUUGUCCAAAACAUUUGAUGCAAUACGUGCUUGAUUUCUCACUAGUAAUAUUAAAAACAAAACAAAUUUUGACCAGGCAACACAAACUUGCCCUAAUUGGCUGCUUGAUUUUUAAAUAGGAAUAUUUGUGUUUUUGGAUACAUAUAAAUACGAAUUGUCUUCACUUAAUAAUUGGAAUGGCUUAAAGAGCAUUCUGCCUAUAAAAUUAAAUGAUCCACGUGCUUUAUAUUAGUUCUAGAUUGGAAUUUGGAAGUUUCCUCCCCCGCGUUUUUAUUUUCGUCGUCGGUUUUCGUCUUUUUCACAUGUUAUUGAUGUGUUGAUUUUAUAAAUUAUUUUAUCUUCCGCAAUUCCCUUUAGACCAAAUAACUUCAUUCUAAUACUGUCCUUGCUCAUAUAUUAAUCCACGUUUAAUAAAGUAAAAACAAAUUUAAUCCAACAAAUGUUUAUGCAUAAUUAAAUAAAACACAUGUUAAAGGAUGGUAUCUGAAUAUUUAAUCAAAACUCAUAUAUUUUAAUCAACCUAAAAAACAAUUUUCUAUUUUUCAAAAUAUUAUUUUUUUAUUUUUUUAUUUAUUUAUUUUCUCAAUUGAAUUAAAUAUUUGAGGUCCAAAUUUGUUAUUAAAAUUUGGUAACGUGACUAAAAUAGACAUCACCAUUAGUGAUUUAACGGAGGCGUGACCAAAAUAUUAAAUUUCGAUAACAUGACUAAGAUAAACGUUUUUAAACGUGAGUGGCCAAAAUUGAAAAAUGGUAAUAAUUAGACGGUCAUUUUUAGAGUUUACCCUUGUUGUAGUAUGAUAAGGACUUUUGAAUUUGGCGGGGCAUAUAGAGUUAAAAAUGGUCACAUUGUGUACGAAAUCUUCUUUAUAUAAUUUAUUCAUAAACCUCCCACACUCAUAAAAUAGAGGAUAAAAACACUUGUACGCAUGCUCAAACCCAAAUCCCGUUUAUUGUUGCAACAAUAAUGACAACUGAUCAAACCCAACGUUGUGACCAAUUAACCAGAUGUUCAUUCUCUUUAGGAAUAGUCUAGAUUUGAAUAAUCGAUGUAUGAAAAAAAGUUGUAAACAGGAAACCAAAGUUCUAUACGUCGAAACCAUUUUUUUUGAAAAGAAACGGGGUCGACUUUGAUUUUGAAAAUGAAAACGAACACGGGAGUCGCCACCAAUCCUUUUUAAUGAGGUGUGAUCGGGUCACCUCGCAAUUUAAUCGUUUUAAUAAAUAGUUUGAUUUAUUAAAACAUUAUUUUUUAGUCUACAAAAAAUCCAGAAAACGGAUUCGGGAGUCAGUUACGCACGAGGAAGGAUUAGCACCCUCGAUACGUCCAAAAUUGGUACCUAGUUGAUUGAUUAGUGUCUUAAUAUAAAAAUGUGCAAAUAUUUUAAAAUACGAUCCUUGUAUUUAAAAAACUUGUAUAAAUCAAAUUACCCGUUAAGACCCUCUCAUUUCGGAGAGAGAAAAUGUCACACCCAAUGAGUUAGGGCAUGAUAUUUCACCUCCUCAAAAAUGAGCUUGUCCUAAAAAAACUCAUGCAAUAAAAUUUAAAAGGAUAUUCAAUUGUUUAAGUCAGAUGAAGAAAUUGCAGCCCAAUACGUUGGGGCACAAUUUCUCAAAAUUUCAAACAUUGAAUAUUGCCUUUAUUAUUUUUUAGAAAAAUCCUCAUCUCGGGAAAAAAAAACAUGUCAUAUCCAAUGCGUUAGGACACAACGUGUUGAAUUCCCAAUACGAGAAUACAUACCGAAAAAUUUACUUAUUUGAAAGACAUUCGAUUACCUCAAUUUUAGAAAAGAUCAUAUUCCGUAAGUUAGAACACGAUCUUUUAUUAAUUCCCGAGAUUAUAAAAAACUUAUCUUUAAAAAGAUUCGUGUAUUUGGAUUUAUUGAGGAAAAUCGAAACCCCGUAAGUUAGGGCACGACUUUCUCAAAUCUCAAAAUACGUAGCUUUACUCAUUUUAAAGUCAUGGUUUAUGCAUCAAAUAAAAUUAAUCUAACGUGAAAUGGUAGAAAUAAAACACGGUGUUAAUAUGCGUAACAAAACAAUAAUGAAUAUGACAAUGUGGACAUAAAUAAUACGAGCAACAACAACAAAAAUAAGAUACAUCAAUAAAAGGACAAAUCAAUUAUAUAUAAAAAAACAAGUAAACAAACAAAUAGAACUAAAACAUUUUUUAUAAUAAUAAUAGACACAUAAAUAAAUGAAUGAAUAAAUAUUAAGUAAAACAAUAAUAAUAAAGAAAAUAAAUAAAAAAUGAUAACAGUUUUAAAUGCUAGAAUAUCAUUAAAUAAUAACUAUGUACUUAAAAAAAUAGUAAAAAUAUAAUAAUAAAUAAAACAAAUAUAUAUAUAAAACGAAAAAUAUAUAUAUAAAGAAUAAUAAUAAUUCAAAUUUAUUAAUUUUAAUAAUAAAAUAACCAAAAUAGCGAAAAAGGACUAAAUUAAAUUUUAAAACAAGAUUUUGGGGCGAAUCAGAAAUGAAUACAAGAAAUAGGACCUAAUUGGAUGCGCGAAUAACAAGGAGGGACUAAAUGAGCAAUAUUCCUCGUCCUCCAAAACGCACAAUUCCAUUAAGGACUAAAUUGUAAGCACAACAAGUUGUGGGAUAAAAUUAAAAAAAUAAAAUAAUUAAUUGAAAAUUCAUUAAAAAGCGGAAGGGAUAAAAGCGCAAAUUGCCCUUCCGCAUAAAAACACGCGGAUCCUGCAGGUUGAAUCGUGCGCGGGUCAGAGAGCAAAACGGUGUCGUUUUGGUCUCUGAACCCAAACUCCAAAACGGCACCGUUUAGUAAAUGUUAUUUAAACACAAAUUUUUUUAUUUUCAUUCUUUCUUCUUCCUCAGGAAAAAAAUUUUUGGAAAACUCUCUGAAGGCCCCCCAUGUCUUCUGACAGUCGGGCUUCUCACCUCCGCUCAUCCGUCAGCCGCACCGCCACUAAACCGACGACCGACAAAGCAUGACAAACGGCUUUUAAAGCCCGGCUUCUGGGUGCUUUGAAAAGUCGAGUCUUUGAACCCCCAUGAGCGCCGAGACAGAGGCUCAUAACUCCCCUUUUCGGAUCCGGGCCAACGAUGGAGAACCACCCACUGACGGCGCGGUCGCGAUGUAUCUCCGGUAUGCCCCUUUUUCCCUUUUUUUACUCUUUUAUUUAUUAAUAGUAUUUUAAAAAAAACAAUUCGUAAAGAAAAAUAAAAUAAAAUAAAAUAAAUAAACAAACAAAUAAAUCGACAAAGAAAAAAAUGAAGAACAAGAACAACAACCUUUUUAUUUUUUUGAUUUAUGUUGUUUUUGUAAAAAAAAUCCAGAAGAAGCAAUACGAUCGCCCUAUUCGGCCUUUUAUAGCCGAUUUAAAAAAAACUAAAUCUCUCUUCUUUUGUUGUUUUGUGCUUUGGAUUGUACGUUUGUCGUUUCUGUUUUGUUGUUUUCUUGCUGGUGUUCUGACGCGCAUGGGAAGGUGGCGUGCGCGAGGGAGCCUGGCAGAGCGUGCGGCGUUGGGGCUUGGGUAGAGGUGUGCGGCGCACCCUUAGGGAAAUUAGGGUUUGCCUAUGUGCUGGGCUUCGGGCUAGGGUUAAUUUAUUGGGUUUGGGCCACUGCUGUAAUGGACUUUUUUAUUUAUUUUUUUGGUUUAUUUUGUUUAUUUUUAUCUGUCUUGGGCCCAGGCCAAAAUUUGGGCCUUACACUAUAUUUUUCAAAAAUAUUUGUCUGCGCAUAUCCUUAUUAUACUUCAUGGUCAAAGUAUUUAAGGAAUAUAAUAAUUAAAAUUAAAAUUUUAAUAAAAUUUGUGUAUUUAAUAUUAAAAAUAAUUUCAAAUAUAUAUUUUGCGUGGAAAGUUUAGUUAAUCAGUAUUUAUAAAGUUAGCAUGAAAAAUAUAUUAACUGUAGGUUGUGUAACUAAAUCCAGAAAAUCAUUUUAAUUUUAAUUAUAUUACAUAUAGCCUUAAUUAUAUUACAGGAAUUAAAUUGUGAAAGUUCAAUCGCUAUUUAAUUUUAAUUUAAAAAACGUUUGAGGAUCCAGUUAGCAAUUAUGCAAAUGGCCUAAAAUAGUUAUGAAACCAUUGUUAUUAUAGGGAAGUUUAUGAUAAUAUCCACUUAAUUUCAUUAAUAAAGGUUAAUUAAUAAAGUAAGCAUGUUUAAUAGUUAAAAAUCUAAGUCAAUUAAUCUUUAAUUAUAACCUUAAUUAUGUAUUAAUAGGAAGGUGAGUGGAGAGAUGAUACAUUCAUCAUCCUCACCAAAUUGUGUUGUCCAAGUAGGAAGAGAAAGGAAAGGAAAACUCUUUUGCUUCUUUUACAUUUUGGUCCAAAAUCCCUGAGGUAUUUAAGUCUUUCCUUUGAAACUUUUAUGUUUUCAUGACUAUCUAAGUUUGAUUAAGUUUACCCGCGCCUUAGAUUUGUCAAUUGUUAAAUGCUUAUCAAAUAGUCAUUAAUGGGUAUUUGAUGAAAUUGAGUUUGAUUUUGAUGAUAAAUAGAAGUAUGAUUUUUUAGCAUGUUAGGACUAAGUUGAAAAUUAGAGAAACGUGCUGGAAUUGAUUAGAAAUUCAAUUAACCUAUCUAAUUGGUUUAUGACAUUUGGGAUCAAAUUGAAUAAAGUGAAAAUUGUUAGGGAAUUAUGUUAUAGAUUAAAAGUACAAGGUCCCUAAUGAAAGGAUAUGAAAUUAGAUUUUGAUUCGAUAUUAAAUAUAAAAGAAUACAAGUAUUUUGGAUAUAGGAACUAAAAUGAUAAAAAUGCAAACUAUGUUUGAUUAUAUGUUUUCAUGUGAUUGGGUGAAAACUAUUAUCGUUUCUAUGCUUGAAUUAUUGUAUGUAGCUAAAGAUGAUGUCAGAUUGUCUCAAGAGAAAGGAAAGACGAGAGUUGUAGACAAGUAGCUAAUACAGUUUGUGCUUCCAUGAUUUAAAAUCAAUACAUUUACAUAUAUUUCUAUUAAUUGUAUCAAACUAUCUUGAUUGAGGUAAUGUCAUGAAAAUGGUAAGUAUUUCAUGGUUGGCAACUUGUGAGAAAUGUGGUGAUAUGCAUGUGAUAAUACGAAAUAAUAUGAAUUAAUGGAUUGGAUUAAGCAUGAUAUAAUAUGAAAUGUUGGAUCUGGUGUCUUAAGUGCAGUAUAUUCGUUUGGUAAACUUGUAUUUUUUUGAACAAAUUGAUUUAAUAAUAUCCAUUAAUUACUUUAACACUCUUUGUAUAUUGUCCUCAAUGGUUUUUGUACACUGUUGACACCAUUUUUUUGAUGAAAACGGGAUUGACUUGGGUUUUGAAAACGAAAACGGGAGUCGCCACCAAUCCUUUUUGAUAAGGUGUGAUCGGAUCACCUUGAAAAGUGGUUGUUUUUAAUAAACGAUUUGAUUUUAUUAAAACAAUGAUUUUGGUCCACAAAAUUUAGAAAAACAGGUUCGGGAGUCGGUUACGUACGAGGAAGGAUUAACACCCUCAUAACGCCCAAAAAUUGGUACCUAGUUGAUUACUUAAUGUCUUAAUGUCGAAAAUUGAAAACUUUGAAGAAUUUUAAAAAUACGAUCCUAACAUUGAAUAAUAUGAGUUGGAAUUUAAGAUUCUCUUGUUCCGAAAGAAUAUCACAACCAGCACAUUAGGAUACGACAAGAUCACCUUAUGGUUUCUUAAACCUAUACUUUGAAACUUUAAAAGGGUAUUUGGCUAUUUGGCUAAAAGAGAAAUCGAAACCCAGCUCAUUAGGGCACGUUUUCUCGAAUUUCCAAACGCAAAAUAUUGCCUUACUUGGAAAUUUUAAAAGGAUAUUUGGCUAUUUGGUCGAACGAAAAAAUCGAAACCCAGCACAUUAGGGCACGUUUUCAAAUUUCCAAAUGCAAAAUAUUGCCUUUAUUAUUUUUUAGAAGAAUCCUCAUUUCGAUAAAACGAUGUGUCAUAUCCAAUGCGUUAGGACACAACGUAUCGAAUUCCCGAUACGAGAAUAAAUGCCGAAAAGUUUACUUACUUAAAAGAUAUUUAACUAUCUCAGAUUUUAGAAAAAGGUGUCAUGCCCAGUAAGUUAGGACACGAUCUUUUCUUAAUUCCCGAGAUCGUUUAAAAACUUGAGUUUGAAAAGAUUCGUGUAUUUAGAUUUAUUACGAAAAUCGAAACCUUGUAAGUUAGGGUACGACCUUCUCGAAUCUAAACACGAGAUUUUGCUUAUUCAAAAAUCAUAAUUUAUGCAUCGAAUAAAAUUAAUCUAACAUGAAAUAGUAGAAAUGAAACUCGAUAUUAAUACACGUAACAAGAUAAUGAAUACAAUAAUGUAAGCAUAAAUGAUACGAGCAACAACAACAAAAUAAUAAAUAAAUAAAUAAAAGAUGACAAAACAAUUAUACGUGAAACAAUAAACAACUAGGGCUAAAACAUUUCAUAAGAAUAAUGAUGAAAACAUAAAUAAAAACAUAAAUAUAAGAUAAAACAAUAGUAACAAUAAAGAAAAUAGAUAAAAAUUAUAAAAUGUAAAAAAAUAUAUAUGUACAUAGAAAGGAAAUAUAUAUGUAUGUAGAUAUAAAAUUAUGAAAAUACGAGAAAAAAUAUAUAUAUAUCUUAAAAUUAUUGAAUAUAAAAGUUUAUGCAAGUAUGUAUAUACACGUUUAUGUAUAUAAAGUUUAUAAAAAAAAUAUAAGUAUAUAUAUAUAUAUAUAUUCAUAAAAAAUGUAUAUAAAUAUAUAUAAAUAUAGAUAUAUAUGUAUAGAUUAUAAAAUGUAUAUAAACAUGCGUGUGUAUGUACAUAUUAGAGGUGCUCAUGGGCCAGGCGGCCCGGCUUGGCCCGACGGCCCGCCCGAAAUAUGGGAGGGUUUGGGUAAAAAUAUAGGCCCGAAAUAUGGGCUUGGGCAAAAAAAUGAGGCCCGUUUAGAAAAUGGGCCGGACCUCGGGCACCACUUUUUUGGCCCGGGCCUGCCCGGCCCGGCCCGAUAUAAUAAAUUUAUUUAUUUUUUUAAUUUUAAAAUAUUUUUAAAAUACUUUUUUUAAUUUUUUUAAAUUUUAAAAUAUUUUUAAAAUACUUUUAAAAUACUUUUUUUAAAUUUUUUUAAUUUUAAAAUAUUUUAAAAUACUUUUUUUAAGUUUUAAAAUAAAUUUUUAAUAUUUAUUAAAAAAUGGGCCGGGCCGGGUCGGGCCCGGACUUAUGAUUUUUUCCCGGGCUGGGCCUGGGUAAAAUUUCAGGCCCAUAUUUCGGGCCGGGCCGGGCCUGGACCUAGGACCCGGGCCGAAAUUUUUUUUAUGGGCCCGGCCCGAACCCGGCCCGACCCGUCCCAUGAGCACCUCUAGUACAUAUUAAAUAAAAAAACGUGUACAUAUAUUAUGAAAAUGUAUAUAUAUAGAUAUAAAAAUAAAGCUAAAAAUAUAUAUAUUACUAAUUAAGGUAUUAAAUAUAAUAGUAACAAAUAAAUAAAAGAAAAAUAAAAUUAAUAAUAAUUAAUAAUAGUAACGAUAAUAAUAAUAAUAAGGUUAAAUAAUAAAAAUGCUAAAAAAACACUGACUAAAUUAAAAUAAAACGAAAAUACAUGGCUGAUUUGAAAGUAAAAAAGACGAAAAGGAUCAAAUUGUGACACGCACAAAAAGGGAGGGACCAAAACAAUAAAUAGACCGAAUUCCCAAAACGCGGUGCUACAGUGGACUAAAUUGAAACGAAAACAAAACUGCGCGUCUAAAUUAAAAAAAAGAAAAGAAAGAAAAAAAAGGGGAAAAUUGCAACACGCCGUAAAAUCGGAGGGACUGCACGCGUAAAUAUCCUAAAAGUCAAAAACACGUGGAUCCUCCGGGUCGGGUCGGGUCGGGUCGGGUCGACGCGCGGAUCCCCUCACCAAAACGGUGCUGUUUCAUUCCUUUAUAAAAGUCAGAUUUUUUAUAUAUUUUUUUAUUUCUGCUACUUUUUUCUAAAAAGUUUUCAAACCCUUUUUUUUUUCUCUCAACCCUUCCCUCAUCUCCCCAGAAUCCGGCCGUCGAUCCGGCCAUGGGCCACUGUGCCGGUCGCCGACGCCGGUGCCGACGUGUACGACGGCAAGGAGACCAAAAGUCUCCCCUUUUUCGCUGAAUCGUCUCUCCUCGGCCUCCUAAGCGUCUCGGCGUCGAUAAAAAAGGGUAAAAAUGCCUCCCUUCUUCUUUUAUUUUGUACUUCGAAUAAAAAUAAAAAUAAAAACAAAACAAAAAUAAAAAGAAGAGUAACCUUUUAUUGCUUUUUUAAUCUUUGUUCUUCCUUUUUUUUGAAUAGAUUUCUCUUUUUUUUUUCAAAAGAAGAACCCUUUUACAAUUUGUUUUUGGGCUAUUUAUAGCCGAUUCUGUUUUUGUUUCCUUUUUCUAUUUAUGCUUGCGUGUUCUUCUUUCUCUUGCAGGUGGAGCAGGUGCAAGUGGGGUGAUGGGACGUGCGACGCGGCAGUGGCAGAGCUAGGGCGGCGGCAGUUGGGUCUGAAUACCCUAGGUGCGGCGCCUAGGGUUCUUUUGUUUCUGCUAGGGUUUUUUUCUUUUUUUUUUCUUUUGGAUUUGGGCCAUUUGGGUUUUGGGCUUAGGUUAGGUUUAAUUGGGGUUUGGUCUGUUUAUUUUCUGUUUUGGUUGUAUUUGGGCUAGUUGGGCCUCGGGCAAAAAAUUGGGCUUGUACAACUGCCCCUCUUUGCUCGUUGUCGUGUAACGAGAACAGAGCAAAGACCUAAAAAGACCAAUAUUUUGCCCGGUCUCGCCGAGUCUUGACUUCUCUUGACGUUUCUCUUCUUCAAGUAGCUCCGUUUCAAUCCACUACGUCUUGUUGCUUCAAUCCACUCUACUGUAGCAAUAACUUUAGGGGGACGAGGUUUGUGGUUUUAGUCUGCUCCACUUGGGAAGAUAAGAUUCACCAUCUUUGAUCUGCUCCACUACUGCUUAGGGAGACAGAAUCUGCAAGGGAGACAGAAUCUGCAAUCUUUAACCUACUCCACUACUGCUUAGGGAGAUAGGACUAAUGGCUUAAAUCUACUUCACCACUAUCUCGGGAAGAUAAGAUUCACCAUCUUUGAUCUGCUCCACUACUACUUAGGGAGACAGAAUCCUACUCCACUACUGCUUAGGGAGAUAGGACUGAUGGCUUAAAUCUGCUUCUCCACUAUCUUGGGAAGAGAAGAUUCACGAUCUUCGAUCUGCUCCACUACUACUUAGGGAGACAAAAUCUACAAUCUUCAACCUACUCCACUACUGCUUAGGGAGAUAGGACAAAUGACUUAAAUCUGCUUCUCCACUAUCUUGGGAAGAUAAGAUUCACCAUCUUCGAUCUGCUCCACUACUGCUUAGGGAGACAGAAUCUUCAAUUUUCAACCUACUCCACUACUGCUUAGGGAGAUAAGACUAAUGGCUUAAAUCUGCUUCUCCACUAUCUUGGGAAGAUAAGAUUCACCAUCUUCGAUCUGCUUCACUACUGCUUAGGGGGAUAGAAUCUGCAAUCUUCAACCUACUCCACUACUACUUAGGGAGAUAGGAUCUGUAAUCUUUAAUCUGCUUUGCUGCAAACUAUGAUGUCUUCGAUCUACUUCACUGUCAGUACAGGAAGGCAAGAUCUGCUAUCUUCAGUCUGAUGGUGUCUUUGAUCUACUUCGUCGUCAGUACAGGAAGGCAGGGCUGGUGUCUUCGAUCUGCUUCGCCGUCAGUACAGGAAGGCAAGAUCUGCUAUCUUUAGUCUGCUCUGCUGUCAGUACAGGAAGGUAAGGCUGGUGUCUUCGAUCUGCUUCGCCGUCAAUACAGGAAGGCAAGAUCUGCUAUCUUCAGUUUGCUCCGCUGUCAGUACGGGAAGGCAAGGCUGGUGUCUUCGAUAUGCUUCGCUGUCAGUAUAGGAAGGAAAAAUCUGCUAUUUUCAGUCUGCUCCGCUGUCAGUACAGGAAGGCAAGGCUGGUGUCUUCGAUCUACUUCGCAGUCAGUACAGGAAGGCAAGAUCUGCUAUCUUCAGUCUGCUCCGUUGUCAGUACAGGAAGGCAAGGCUGGUGUCUUCGACAUGCUUCGCUGUCAAUAUAGGAAGGUAAAAUCUGCUAUUUUAAAUUUGCUCCGCUGUCAGUACAGGAAGGCAAGGUUGGUUUCUUCGAUCUGCUUCACCGUCAGUACAGGAAGGCAAGAUCUGCUAUCUUCAGUCUGCUCCGCUGUCAGUACAGGAAGGCAAGGCUGGUUUCUUCGAUCUGCUUCACCGUUAGUACAGGAAAGCAAGAUCUGCUAUCUUCAGUCUGUUCCGCUGUCAGUACAGGAAGGCAAGGCGGGUUUCUUCGAUCUGCUUCACCGUCAGUACAGGAAGGCAAGAUCUGCUAUAUUUAGUCUGCUCCGCUGUCAGUACAGGAAGGCAAGGUUGGUGUCUCCGAUCUGCUUCGCUGCCAGUAUAGGAAGGCAUGAUUUGCUAUCUUUAGUCUACUUCGCUGUCAGUACAGGAAGGCAAGACUGGUUUCUUCGAUCUGCUUCGCCGUUAGUACAGGGAGGCAUGAUCUGCUAUCCUUAGUCUGCUUCGCUGUCAGUAUAAGAAGGCAAGACUGGCUUCUUCGAUCUGCUUCACUGUCAGUACAGGAAGGCAUGAUCUACUAUCUUUAGUCUGCUUCGCUGUCAAUAUAGGAAGGCAAGACUGGUUUCUUUGAUCUGCUUCGCCAUCAGUACAGGAAGGCAUGAUCUGCUAUCUUCAGUCUGCUCCGCUGUCAGUACAGGAAGGUAAGACUAGUUUCUUCGAUCUGCUUCGCCGUCAGUACAGGAAGGCAAGAUCUGCAAUCUUCAUUGAUCUGUGCUCUGGGGAAAACCACCUGUAUAUUCUAUUUUAUGAACCUAAUUGUGCCUAGUGGUUAGGAUGACAUGAUCAGAAUGAAUCAAAUGCUCCUAAUUAGACACGUAUGAAUGACAUUUGAAUGAAUGCAAUGAGAAUGAUCCCUUUUUAAUGCUUGAGUUAUCAUUACUCAAAGUUUAUUAAGGUUUUAUCACUACCGUGCUACAACGCCUUCUUGCUUGGCUGGUGUAUCCAAAGAAACACUUUAUCUGAUUGCCCCCAUUGUGAACGUCAGAGUUCAAUCCACUAGGACGCAAAAUUUGUACCAUCAUUCUCCCACUGUGAUCCAAGGGUAGAAAAAUAUGGCUUUUCUCAAUCAUCUCCUAUCGCAAUUCAAGGAUACAGAAUGUGAAGCUCUUUGGUCUUUUACCCCAUUCCCAGGGUGUUAUACCAAAUGCUCAUGCACAAUUGCAAAAGUUUCUUCUCCGAGAAAACCUUUUCUUAUCACUCGGUGAUUAUUGCUUGUUUAUUCAUUGAAGCCUUGUCAUCAACACAACAUUUUGUCAUUUUGUUCAAUCAAUGUUUGGAUAACAAAAUCUGAAAGGAUAGUCUUAACUUAGACUCUUCCUUCUUAGAAAUUUCAACCUUUAAACUUGGUGUGUUCUAAACAAUAUCCUGUUUCAGGUUCCUAUAUUAUUUAGAAACUUCUAGGGUAAUAUGCAAAACUUCCCUUGUGAAAGUAUUAUUAGUCCAUUAAUCAUUAUUCCAAUGCAACAUGCUUGCAAAAGAUCAUAUCGAUAGAUAAAACAAAAUUGAUUUGGGAGCCUAGCUCAAAAUAAAUUAUCAAGGAUAGCAAGAAUAAAAGAGGAAUUGAUUGGAACACGUAUCUUGAAAAAGAAUAAAGUAUUCCAAGAACAACAAAUUCAAUAUAAAGGUUAGGUGCCCCAGAUAUCGCAUCUUAAACUUCUCUGUACAAACUUUUUGAAGACCUUUCUGAGUUUGACAUGUGUUUAGGAGAUCUACAGGACUUUGUCGAUGCCCCAAGAUGUUGCCUACCCUUUCCUGUUGAUUCAGGUAUAACAAGAUCACCACAUGCCCCAAUUUGGUUAAAAUUUGAGCUGCUCUGAUCACCUCAUGCCCCAUUUGAUCCAAAACUUGAAUCGCCCUUUUCGGGUUUUCAACUCAAAUCCCCUUUGGUCUCAAGGCGCCCUUUGCGGGUUUUCACAUUGGCCUCUCCUUUUUUUUUCUUUUUCUUUUUUUCCCUCUUUUUUUCUUUUUUUAAUUUGAACUCAUUGUAUUAGGUAUGUCAUCGUUAUCCCUUCCGAUCAAGAUUGACGCUUUUCCAGAUAAGGCCUUCCCCAUAAGGUUCUUCCCAUCUUGGCAUGAAGUUCUUUUUGUGUGGGAAGGAUCUUCUUCGAUACCAAGUACCCCUCAUGGAACUUUAUAGGGCAAACUUUUUUGUGAGCUCGCAUCAUUUGCUUUUGGCGCAUUUGACCAUGAUGGACAACUUUGAACAUUCCUCUUCAAUCGGGAUUGGAUCCAAAAACUCAGAGAGAAAGAAUCUCAUCUUCAAUAGGCGAAACCGCGAUAGGCCCAAGAGAACGGCAUUGCCCCCGCAGAGUUUUUUUUUAAUGCUCUGUUCACCUUUGGGCAACAUAGUGUUAAUUUUGAACAUACUGCCAACUUCUGAUAUCAUGCUCUUGUUCAAAUUUGGUGCAUUGUUAGAUAUGAUCCUUUUGGCAUUCCAUAUUGACAUAUGAUUUUUUUUGAGAAUUUGUUGACUGUCAACUUUCUGAUGUUGGCAUAUGAAGCGGCUUCUACCCGCGAAGAUAAAUCAAUGACCGCCAAAGUCUUCUAUCUAGAUCGUCCCAAUAGCCUUCAUGCCCCACAUAGGGAGGAGCCAUGGACUCCAUUGAUUUUUUGUAUGGUGGAAUCUAUUUUUCACCUUGUUUUAUCAUCCUUAACAAGUUCAGAGAUAAGCUAUAAUCUAUGUCAUCUUCAAAGUCAUGAGAUCCCUCUAAACACAUGUCUCGCUCAAAACGAGAUUCUGAGUCUGUAGCAGCGUCACUCAUGUCGUUGAUAUCUGGGGACCUAUUGUAAGUACAAGAGAAUAUACAAAGAAUGUAUGAAUUUAAGAAUAAUUAUUUGUACAGUAUGAUUAUGAAUGAAUGAAAGAAUGAUUUGGAAGAAAGAAUGAAAGAAUAAUUAUUCAUAAAAGGAUGAAAGAAUAUUAGCUCAAAAAUGAUCGCAAAGAUAUAUUUCAUUAAAAUAACGACGUUCAGAUAUGAGCCUAUUUCACAAAGGAAUUCUUAUCGCCUCUAGGCUGAAAGCAACAAGUGUGUUCUGGACAUUACUCUAAAUAAACUCUAAAUACUACAAAGAUUUCUUCUGCAGUCCGAUUAUUUAGAACACUCCCAAGUUUAUAAGGGCGGAUAUCUAACAAGGUCCCUUUUCAAUUGUCUUCAUGUAUGACAUUGAUAUGACCAUUUUUUUGACCCCUUCAUAGAACUCUAUCUUGUUGGACCUUAGCUAACCGCUCUUGUAUUUGCAGUCAUAGUUGGUCUUGCCUCCCCCUUUGGAGUCGUUCAAGUUUUCAAUCUUUGGUCCAUGUUUUUUUGUUCGGAUACCGUAAUGAUGCUAAGUCGAUAGACUUUUUUUCGGUUCCCAGGUUAACUGAAAUAAUUUUACUCAAUUAGGGUCUUUUAAUGGUCCCUAAUGCACAUGAUGCUAUGUAAUGCAAAUGCAUGAAAUGAAUGCAAAAAGAGACAUUGAUUCUUGGUUCAAUUCUAUUAGAACAACUUUACUAGAAAACAAAUCUCUUUACAUAAAGCAGAUAUAUAUACGGCUUUGCCCUCAUAGGCGGAGACAUUCGAUCCUCUUUUUCAUUCAAGCGUUAAGAUAAAUCUCAGGAACUCUUCAAAAGGGACGUCUCUUCUAUCUCUUUUUUGCUUAAUCCAAGCCAUGACUCGUUGCUCGCUCAUCCUUGUGAUGCUCAUUGGCUUCUCUUUAAGAAAGUUCAGCGGCUCUCGAAUAAUCUUUGUCUUCUUGAAUCCUCGGGCAACGGAGCAAUAGUCGUGUAGUCCUCUAUUAAACUAUCAUCAUUCUCUUAUCACGUUUUCUUGGACCAUAUUCGGAUAACCGUAUCGUCAUCCACUUUAUCAAGAAACCUAUUGUCUUAUGACAAGCUCUCUAUUUAGCAACCGAACGUGAAUCAACACCUCUUUUUAUGAUGAAAAUGCAAUGCAAUCAUAACAAAAAAGAAAACAUGUUAGUACAAAGAAAAAGCAAGCAAGAAUAAAGAGAACACCUAUUCGGGUGAAUACUAGGGGUUCGAAGUGGUUCUACCUAGGGUGGGCUCCUAAAGUUCGCCACAUGAGGUUUGGUUCUAAAGUAAAGGUACCCGAGCCAGCAGAUUCCUCGAUCUUCACCCAUUAUAGGCUCACAUUUCCCUAGUUCGGUUCAGGGGAAUACAUUUCCCUAUGGCUGCACGGAGAUGAAAAUCUCACGAAGACAUAGGUACAGAUGUAUCCCGAAAGCGAUCCACUAUCCUGCACGGAGGCGAAAACCUCACGAAGGAGUAGCUUCUCACUCCCACUUAAAAGGGUGUGACCAACGGUCAUGCAAUGCAAUGUGCAGAGAUGUAAAAAUUUAAAAUACAAAACAUGAUGAAAACUAUAAAACAUGAUGAAAACUAUAACUCAAAACAAAUGCAAUGAGAGGAUUGUAUAUUUAAAUCAAGUUUUUUAAUUUUUGACAAAAAGACAAAAAAUAAUCAUCUCGUGGCUUGACUCUCUUAUUUUAUGUCCCCAGUGGAGUCGCCAAGCUGUUGACACCAUUUUUUUGAUGAAAACGGGAUCAACUUGGGUUUUGAAAACAAAAACGGGAGUCUCCACCAAUCCUUUUUGAUAAGGUGUGAUCAGAUCACCUUGAAAAGUGGUUAUUUUUAAUAAACGAUUCGAUUUUAUUAAAACAACGAUUUUGGUCCACAAAAUUCAGAAAAACGGGUUCGGGAGUCGGUUACGUACGAGGAAGGAUUAGCACCCUCGUAACGCCGAAAAAUUGGUACCUAGUUGAUUAGUUAAUGUCUUAAUGUCGAAAAUUGAAAACUUUGAAGAAUUUAAAAAAUACGAUCCUAAAAAAUUUUGAAUAAUAUGAGUUGGAAUUUAAGAUUCUCUUGUUCCGAAAGAAUAUCACAUCCAGCACAUUAGGAUACGAUAUUUUAAACUCUCGAAACCAAGAUCACCUUAUGGUUUCCAAAACCUAUACUUUGAAACUUUAAAAGGGUAUUUGGCUAUUUGGCUAAAAGAGAAAUCGAAACCCAGCUCAUUAGGGCACGUUUUCUCAAAUUUCCAAACGUAAAAUAUUGCCUUACUUUGAAAUUUUAAAAGGAUAUUUGGCUAUUUGGUCGAACGAAAAAUCGAAACCCAGCACAUUAGGGCACGUUUUCAAAUUUCCAAAUGCAAAAUAUUGCCUUUAUUAUUUUUUAGAAAAAUCCUCAUUUUGAGAAAAUGACGUGUCAUAUCCAAUGCGUUAGGACACAACGUAUCGAAUUCCCGAUACGAGAAUAAAUGCCGAAAAGUUUACUUAUUUAAAAGAUAUUUAACUAUCUCGGAUUUUAGAAAAGGGUGCCAUGCUCAGUAAGUUAGGACACGAUCUUUUCUUAAUUCCCGAUAUCGUUUAAAAACUUGAGUUUGAAAAGAUUCAUGUAUUUAGAUUUAUUACGAAAAUCGAAACCCAGUAAGUUAGGGUACGACCUUCUCGAAUCUAAACACGAGAUUUUGCUUAUUCAAAAAUCAUAAUUUAUGCAUCGAAUAAAAUUAAUCUAACAUGAAAUAGUAGAAAUGAAACUCGAUAUUAAUACACGUAACAAGAUAAUGAAUACAAUAAUGUAAGCAUAAAUGAUACGAGCAACAACAACAAAAUAAUAAAUAAAUAAAUAAAAGAUGACAAAACAAUUAUACGUGAAACAAUAAACAACUUGGGCUAAAACAUUUCAUAAGAAUAAUGAGGAAAACAUAAAUAAAAACAUAAAUAUAAGAUAAAACAAUAAUAACAAUAAAGAAAAUAGAUAAAAAUUAUAAAAUGUAAAAAAUAUAUAUGUACAUAUAAAGGAAAUAUAUAUGUAUGUAGAUACAUAAAAUUAUGACAAUACGAGAAAUAUAUAUAUAUAUCUCUUAAAAUUAUUGAAUAUAAAAGUUUAUGCAAGUAUGCAUAUACAGGUUUAUGUAUAUAAAGUUUAUAAAAAAAACAUAUAAGUAUAUAUAUAUUCGAAAAAAAUGUAUAUAAAUAUAAAUAUAAAUAUAGAUAUAUAUGUAUAGAUUAUAAAAUGUAUAUAAACAUGCGUGUGUAUGUACAUAUUAAAUAAAAAACGUGUACAUAUAUUAUGAAAAUGUAUAUAUAUAUAUAGAUAUAAAAAUAAAGCUAAAUAUAUAUAUAUUACUAAUUAAUGUAUUAAAUAUAAUAGUAACAAAUAAAUAAAAGGAAAAUAAAAUUAAUAAUAAUUAAUAAUAGUAACGAUAAUAAUAAGGUUAAAAAAUAAAAAUGCUAAAAAAACACUGACUAAAUUAAAAUAAAACAAAAAUACAGGGUUGAUUUGAAAGUAAAAAAGACGAAUAGGAUCAAAUUGCGACACGCGCAAAAAGGGAGGGACCAAAACAAUAAAUAGACCGAAUUCCCAAAACGCGGCGCUGCAGUGGACUAAUUUGAAACAAAAAUAAAACUGCGCGUCUAAAUUAAAAAAAAGAAAAGAAAGAAAAAAAGCGGCAAAUUGCAACACGCCGCAAAAUCGGAGGGACUGUGCGCGUAAAUAUCCCAAAAGUCAAAAACACGAGGAUCCUCCGGGUCGGGUCGGGUCGACGCGCGGAUCCCUUCACCAAAACGGCGUCGUUUCAUUCCUUUAUAAAAGUCAAAUUUUUUUAUAUAUUUUUUAUUUCUGCCACUUUUUUUUUAAAAAGUUUUCAAACCCUUUUUUUUUCUCUCAACCCUUCCCUCAUCUCCCCAGAAUUCGACCGUCAAUCCGGCCAUGGGCCACCGUGCCGGUCGCCGACGCCGGCACUACCGUGUACGGCGGCAGGGAAACCAAAAGUCUACCCUUUUUCGCCGAAUUGUCUCUCCUAGGCCUCCUGAGCGCCUCGGCGUCGAUAAAAAAGGGUAAAAAUGCCUCCUUUCUUGCUUUAUUUUAUACUUCAGAAAAAAAUAAAAAUAAAAAUAAAAAUGAAACAAAAAUAAAACGAAGAGUAACCUUUUAUUACUUUUUUAAUCUUUGUUCUGCCUUCUUUUUUUUUUUGAAUAGAUUUCUCUUUUUUUUUUCCAAAAGAAGAACCCUUUUACAAUUUGUUUUUGGGCUAUUUAUAGCCGAUUCUGUUUUUGUUUCUUUUUCUAUUUAUGCUUGCGUGUUCUUCUUUCUCUUGCAGGUGGAGCAGGUGCAAGUGGGGUGAUGAGACGUGUGGCGCGGCGGUGGCAGAGCUAGGGCGGCGGCAGUUGGGUCUAAAUACCCUAGGUGCGGCGCCUAGGGUUCUUUUGUUUCUGCUAGGGUUUUUUUUCUUUUUUCUUUUGUUUUGGAUUUGGGCCAUUUGGGUUUUGGGCUUAGGUUAGGUUUAAUUAGGGUUUGGUCUGUUUAUUUUCUGUUUUGGUUGUAUUUGGGCUAGUUGGGCCUCGGGCAAAAAAUUGGGCUUGUACAUACACAAAGCAAAAUGGAAGAAAAUAUUAGAUCACUGAUUACCUAACGUUUAACUAAUACUAAGCAGCAUUAUGUGGUCGGAUUGUAAUGAGGAAAGACGACUUGUAUUAGUAGAUCAUAAACCUAAACAUGCCCUUAGUCUAAUCGGAAAUGAGAAAACCAAUUGAAAGAUUUAUAUGUCAUAUAUGAAGUCCAAUUAGGGCUAAUCAAUGACUAAUAAAUUUAAUUUUCACUUCGAACUUCAAUUAUUUAAUUUCAAUAAAUUAAAUAAUAAUUCAAAACAAUUAAUUCAAUUUUCUACAUGCAAUCUAUUUUGGGUUAUACUGAAUUAGCAGAGGAACCAAUUGAACAUAUAUAAUUAGGGCUCAAAUAAUUUUUAAUUUAGUUUCAUCUAUUCACCUAUUAAUUACAACAUUAUUUAAUUAUAAAGUCAUUUCACUAAAGUAUCAUGAUUGAACCCUUCCCUAUUAUAUAGCAUCACGAAAGUAACUUAAUAAAUGCUUGUACAAUGACCUUAUUAUGAGUGUGUUACCCUCGUAGGUUAUCUAUUAUCUUUUUGGUUAAUUUCUUUCAAGUAAUAUGAUCCUAUUUUAUCUCAUGGUAAUUACUAUUUCAUCUUCCCUCAUGAAACAGUCAAUUAAAUCAUUUGUUCCAGACAAAUGAUCUAAGACCAUGUUACAUUUUCAUCUAUCAUGUAAUAAUGUCAAAGAGAAGAUAUCAUUUACCUUUUGUAGGACUAUGAAUUCCACCAUAAUAAAUGAAGCUAUGUCAUGCAGAAGUCAAAUACACUACAUACCGGCUUUUGGUUCUUUAGUUGUUUUGAACUCAGACAUUCAAUACAUUAAAGCAUACGAGUCAAGCAUACAUAGUAACUUACUCAGGGUUAAGGUAAGUCACACUACGAACAUUACAAGUAAAUUAAUCCUCAAACAAAUCUACGAUUAAUUCGACUUGUAUCUUGUCUAAUGUAUUAUCAAUCCAGACAAUAACAUCUAUGUUCGUAUCUUUUGGGAGUCAUUUGCUUUGAUACGCAAGACAAUGUAUCUCUCUAAUUGGAUUUGAUAGACGACAGAAUAGUCCUUUAAUCAAUUUGCUAAAUUUCGAUACAGUAAAUGAUGGAUCUUUUAGAUCGCCUACUAAUAUAAGUUGUUUUCUCACAUUAUGACUUGAUGACGUAAUACAACUUAGUAUAAGUUAAACACUAUGUAAUUAGUGAGUCAAUAUUUACUAUAUUCAAAAUUUACCAUUUUCUUUUGGGAAAUCAUUUUAGUCUAUUUUAAUUAGUUUAGAAUUAACAUUUAAUAUCUCUCUCUCUCUUGGGCAGAACAAUAAAAUAUAUAAUAUGAGCUUAAUAUAGUUCAUUAGAGUAUACUUAGGCUCCUUUGGAUUGGUGGUGACAUUCGCUUGAAUGGGAUUAAAACUAGUGGUUCAUGUACUAAAAUGCCUCUUUAUAACUCAAAAUAAAUUAAAAUUAAUAAAUUUUAUUUUUAUAUAUUUAAAUUUUUAUUUAUUAACAACCAUAUGUUAAUUAAAAACAUCGUUAUAUGAUGGAAUUCGCUGGUUGAUGUUAGACUCAUCACAUUUGCUGCAGUGAGUGGCGAGAUUCAACAUGAUAUGAUCGUCAAGUCCACUGGAUGAGGUCGCAUAUUGGCAACCUUGCUCCUUUCUGUCAUCCGGUGUGAGUGAGCUUUGGUCAACAAAGUGAUCUUAGAGUUAAAUAGAAAUGUCAAUUGCUAAACAACAUCUUCGAAACAAGAGUAUUUUUAUUUGUCUUUUUAUUCCAUUUCGAGUUAAGAUUUUUGAGAAAACUAAAAGUGAAAAUUUGUAUGAAAAGAAAGAAAUUGUAGUAAGCUGAAAAGUUAUAUGGUUGGAAAUUAGGAAGUUUAACUUUUCAUAAUUGUGAUUUAUCUUUUGUUAAAUUUAACCAAAGCCUCAUCUUAAUUUAUUUGAAAUAUCAGUUUAUCCCAAAUAUUUAACUGAGUCUGGAAUUAAGUUCGAAGGGUUGAUUUAAGGUAUAAUAUCAAAUUUAGUCUUCAACAUUUAAAUAUUGUCAUUUUGGCCCUUAUUCUAUUUUUUAGCUCUAUUUGACCGUUAACCUUUUAAAAAGCGUCAAAUCGUUUUUGUUUUAUAUGCUAUGUCAACUAAUAGUUUUAUUUUUUUAAAAACAAUAAUAAUAAAAUUUAUAAAAAUAUUCAUAAAAACUCAAAAAAAUAGCAUGACGUACAUGUGAAUUACCAUGCGGGCUAUGAUAUUUAAGAAGUUCACGUUUUAAUUAAUAUUUUCAUUAAAAAUUAAUUAUUCAACUCAUUUAAAAAGGUUGGCUCCUUUUGGUUAAAAAGUUGAGGCUCAAUUUUAAGUAAAAAAAAAAAGAAGAAAAACCAAAUUGAGUUUGAUAGCUAAAUUUGAUAUUAUACUUCGAUAUAUUAGAGGCUUAAGUAUCUCUGAACCCAGAUUUAUCGAAUCAGACAAAAUUUGGAAUCAAUGAAAAUAAUAAAGCUUUUCUCUCUAACUUUAUUCAAACUUUGGCCGAGAGAAUUUCCAGUUUAGAUGUUGGUGAUCUAAAUCAUUUCUUGGGAAUUGAAGUCAUUCCAACAUCUCAAGUUUUAUUCGUCUGAAUAUAUUAGUUAUGAUAUAUUGAGCAAAGUAAACAUGUCGAAUACUCAAACGCGAAGGAAUCAAACACACCGGUUUCCACUUUAGUUUCUUUAAGUUUUCAUGAUGGCUUUGCUGUAGUCGAGGCCAAAGAGUCCAGAAAACUUGUUGCUUCGUUGUAAUUGUUUCCUUGUAAACAAACUUUUCAAAUUUUUGCAUAAACCAAUCUCUAUUAGAGAUGAAGAUAAAUUUUUGUAGCUAAGAAUUUAAUCUUUAUUUGUAAUAUAAUGAUAAAAUACAAUGAUCAAGUAUGAGAAUUUAAACUUUUAAUCAGAUGAAGAUAUAUAUCUCAUACAUUUAUUCUAAUCAAGCGUGACAGAAUGAUAUGACUUUUUCACAAUCUGUAGAUAACAUCUUAGUAAUGAAUUACAGUAACGUUAAAUUCAAUGAUGACAUUGGUGGCAUUUAUAAGGAUAGGGUUAAAUAGUGCAACCCCUGUUGCCAUCAUGAAUCGUCCUCUUCCUCCGACCACCGCAAGCCCAGGUUCUCCCCUUGAAAAUACGCUUAGAGAGCUGCCGUUAAACUUACCGGUAUUGAAUCCAAAAUCUAUGUAUUGCGUGCUUGAUGCAUUCGUUCCAGCCAGGAGCGCAAUACCCUGAACAUUUCCAAUCAGCUCCGAGUCAGGCUCAGGACCAGUCCUGAGGGGAUCAUUAACGGCAACUAGGGAGGCAAAUGGCACUGAUGAAUUAUUGUCGCUGCUUGUGAUGUUAACUUGGGCUACCUGGACUGCUGUAAUACCCGUAAAUUCGUGCAUAAAGAAGUGAAGAUUGGUGACCUUAACUGGCCUGGGACGAUAUGGUAGGGUCUCCGAGUAGUAUUGGCUCUGCACUGCUACUAGGGAGAGGCAGAUGAUCAGAGCCCAACUCAACAUCAAUGUUCCUCUCAUUGUCUCUGCUUUACUUUAAUUUCUGGGGCGAAAUGUAGAUGAAAG